GCACUCAUACUUCAAAGAGUGGAUGAACCUGUUUGACUGGCUAGGCUUGGUGUUGAUCUUGUGUAUAAUACCUUUACGGUACACUGACAACAAAGCACAGUGGAGAGUGGCAUCUUUAGCGUUCCUGUUCAACUUCCUGAGAACUUUUAAGUUUUCUUUUGUAACAAGGACCGCAGGGCUGCCUGUACACAAAGACCUUGGCCAAGAUCAUUCAGAAAGACAUAACGAGAUUUAUAGCAGUUUUUGCUGUUGUGUUUCUAUCUUUCUGUGGAGCCUUGCUUUUGUCUCUCCAGUCUUCUAAGAAAAAUCAGCAGUUCAGGUGUGUGUUCAUUGUAUGCCUUCGUGUCUCUUAUAAUGAAACAUAAACUGAAUUUUUUUCUUCCAUUUUACAGUGGUUUUGCCGGAAGAGGACUUGUUGAGCGGAUUUCGUGCUCUUUCCGAACAACAACCGACUGCGGAAGAUUCCUCAACUUUCAAGUAACUUCUAACUUCUCCCAAUAACUGAUGAAGAGGUUUCAUCUCAAUAUUCCAUGCUGAGUCCUUUAUUGCCAUAUAUGAAAUUGCUUACAAUACGGUGAAGAAAACUUGAAAAUAUUAGUUUGAUAGAACACAAAAAACACAUCAAAAUGGAAAGAAAAAUUGUGAAGCGAACGUGGAGGGCUGAGGGUGGAAAAGAUUAAAACGGAUUGAAAAUAACCACAAAAUGUUUGCUCACGCGUUUGUUUGUUUGUUUGUUUUUUCAUUACUGUCAUCAAACUCUGCGAUUUUGUUUCUUUUGCAGCUGGCUCAGUAUCGAUUCUGUUGAUGUUAUCGUACAUGGGGACUGUGACAGUGAUUCUGCUCAACUUUCUCAUUGCACAGAUGAGCACGACCUACACUCAAGCCAAGAAAGUCGCCCGCCUAGAAUAUGAUGUGGAUCGAUUUUCACUGCACACCCGUAUGGAGAGAUUUCAUUUUCUGAAUCUACGCGUGAAGUAUUAAAAAGAAGGAGACUGGAUCAGUGAAAUGAAACUUGCAAAAG
Molecule: long non-coding RNA, 1021 nt
Organism: Stylophora pistillata
Lineage: Eukaryota; Metazoa; Cnidaria; Anthozoa; Scleractinia; Pocilloporidae
Source: RefSeq, a predicted model, not a curated record